AUGCGCGUGCCCACGGCCGCACCCUCGGACACCUCCACCGGGAUCUGGGCCCGGGGGAAGCGCGGUGCGUGGUCGUUGACGUCCCUCACCUCCACCUCCACGUGCACCAGCCGGAACUGCUCCUGCGAGAAGCUGACCACAUCGAAGGCCAGCACGCACUGCGGGGCCUGGCCACACAGCCGCUCGCGGUCCAGGCCGGCGUCCCCGACGGUCAGCUGCCCGUCGCCUUCGCGCACCCGGAGCAGAGAGCUGUUGAAUUGCUUCAUCAGGCGGAAGCUUGUGUCACCCGAUACUUUCAUAUGCAGGUCCUCUGCCAGGGUCCCGAUGACCGUGCCGGGGGCAUCCUCCUCGAAGGUGCUGUAUCUGACUGUUUUGCUCUGGGCCACUGAGAGCACCCAGCAGAGGCUGAAGAGCUGCAAGGGGAAAAGGCAGGGGCUGCCCCAGCGCCUCACAAGACUCAUGCCUCCAGCCUUAAUUGCGAUCCGAAAGGCUAAGGAAGAGAGUCUUCUCUGGUUUCCAGGGCCACUCUGGGAAGCAACACUCGUCCGGUUCCAGAAGAACAAAAUCACAGCGUGACAUUGAAUCCUGGCAGGAACGUGGGGGGAACUUAACCAUCUGCCUAGAAAAGUGUGGAGCUUCGGCACUGCCAAAAUCUGGGCUGGGCGAAUCCUGAGGCUGGCCAGGCGCUGCGCUGCCCCACAGAUAGCCCCUUCCCAUCCCUGAAGGCCAGGGAGAUGGAGCUUGGAUCUGGAAUAAGAUGGAUUCUUAAUGAUGCUUACUGAAGGGCUUUAUUGAGCAGGCUAUGCAAAUACACACGAAGAAGGAAAGGUAAAAAACAGAAGCCACACACUGGAAGAAAUUUUGCUUUUUAGGCGAUAGGUUUGGUAAGCAGAUUGCAUUCAGUAAACAUUCUUCAGAAUCCCGAAUUUUGGUCCUGCUGUCAGCGUCCUAUCCAUAUUUUCUUUUCUCUCAAAGUCAAGGGAGUGUGUUUUGGGGGUCUUUUCAGAAGAGGGUCAGGAGUUUUCCCUGGAGUAGGGAGACCAAGUCGGGAGCUGGGUGGUGGGGAUGAGAGAGGUGCUUGGAACUGUCAGCAGAACAUGCAGCCCCAGCCAUCCAUAAAUAAAAGCUGUUAUGAGACUGGGGAAGGGGAUGGUGACUGGAGGCUUCCUCAGAGCGGUGUGUCUCUGGGUUCCCUUCUCCACCUCUUCCACCUUGUAGCCUUGGGAACGCUAAAAGCAAUAAGGCCAGGCAUCUGCAGCCGCGCGGGGACGUGCAAGGAGGAGCGCCCCCUACAGGAACCCAAACCGCAGCCCUUUCUUCCGCUUUCUUCCACCUCCCAAGUGCGAUUUAGUGUCUUGCCCUCCCCCUGUCCCCUCCAAGAGAUAUUCCUUGGGGAACACACGCAGCCGAAGGAACUUUCUAUUUCCUUCCGAGCCCCGCAACACUCCCACCGCAGCCUGGGGCUGGCUGGUGACCUUUAGCGCCCCUAGGCUAACGUCAUCUUUCCUCACCCCUCUUCCCCCGGAGACCCAGACGGGAACAGGUUCAGAACUUGGCUGGUGGACAGCGGCCUCGGCGCUUCCGCUGGCGUAACUAGGGAAGGUCAGGCCAGGGUGGCGCGGCUGCUGCUGGGCGGAGGACUCGGAAGGUGGGGAAAGUGGUAGGCAAUGGGGUUGGAGUCCCAGAGGAAGGGAUUUCAGCGAUUCCCGCGAGCACAGCCCGGCCGCGAGUGGCUGGGACCCGGACCUCACGCCAGCGCCCCCUGCGCCCCCGCACCCGGCAGUUCUGGGCUGGACUCGGGAUCCCCGCCACGCGCUAAAUUUGGGUUUUUUGCUUGGCCAGAGAUUCGGAACUACUUGCAAUUUCUACUCAAAGCGCUUCUGCGUCAGCAUGCUCAUUGUCAAGGCUGAAAUAAACCAAGGAGUGCUUGAAAGUGGGAAAAGGAAAGGGGAGCAGAGGCAGGCGAAAGCCAGGAGGCGAGAGGAGGGGUGUAGGGUGGCUGGUAGCAGGUCCAAAGCAUUUUUUCCGCGGCCAGCUCCUCGUCGCUCGGAAGUAGCCACGACGGCGGCGGCGCCCGGAGGCUGAGAGCCGGGAGCCGGAGAGCCGGGAAGCCGGGAAGGGAGCCGCGAGUCUCCAACCGCCACUGGUGUGCACAGGUCUUUCCGUGCCGGCGGUGGAGGUGUGAAGGCACGCAAGCACCGUGAGCUCCGGGCCGGCCGCGGCAGCCGCUCGAUUAUGGAAAUACGAUUUAAAAUAGCGCAUCAACGUCCGCAGCAACUCCCCGGGAAGGAAAAUAUGUCCAGGGAGGUGGCCUGGGAGAGAAGUAGGGGAAAGGGAGGGGAGUUCGCCUGCCCCGGCGCUGAUCAGGCCUCACAAAAGCCGCCCGAAUCGCCUUGUUAUCAUACCAAAAGGUCUGGGCAGGCUCAAAGGAGCCCCUUUCUCUGGGUUUUAGCAACUUCACCGGCAACUGUCUCGCAAUCUUGAGAACAAACACAGCUCCACAAUGGCCGGCGUUUUCUCGGAAUGCAAAUGUUGCAGGCUUCGCAAAGCUGGGUUUCUGCUACCGAGCCUAAUGCCGGCAUUGUGAAACUCGCGUGCAAACACCGAGAUUGACACGGGCGUCACGUGACGGAUUAGGGCUCUAGGAAAGUUUUCAAAGAGACGACAAUGGGGGCUGAUCUGAUAUCUCCCACAGUUUAGAGGGAAAGAAAAUCAGGAUAUAUUCUCAUAUGUAAUAGGAUUAUCUUGUCCAUUUCAAGUUCUAUACAGCAUGUAAUUUAUUUUUAAUUAGGAUUAUAUCUACCAGGAAAGGGAACUAGACUUCACUGGAAAGUGUAAUUCUAAGGAUGGAUGAAGAGAGGGGUUAUUUUUCAACCUUUUACUUUUUUUUUUUCCUUUAAAAAUAAGCCCAGGGCCCUGGUUUUUCCUCCUACAGACUCAACAUUGGGUAAACCCCUCAGGGAAGCUUGCAGCAAGUGUUCGGCCAAGCAAAGAACAGAGGAAGCUCUUCGGGGCAUCUAAUUCAUUUUUGUAGUGAAAACACAUUUUGCAAAAAUCUCAUCGAAUUCUGAAGCCUCUGGGUUUUCUGGGGUUGAUGCUCUAGAAAUGCAACCAAGCGGUUUUCUACACUCCAAAUGCUUACUCUUUAAGUUCUCUCUCUCUCUGUGUGGUUUUUGGGCCGUCAGUACUGGCAUGGUGACUUUUAAACUGUAUAGUAAACCACAAAGCAGCAUUCUCCAUAGCCCUGAUUCAAAUUCAGCAGUCAGACAAUGAGACAAUUUGGGGGUGAAGGUAACUGUUAUUUAAACAUUGAUUUUGGAUCGAUUCCAGUGCCAGAUGCUCACAAACCCUGGAUCAUUUCCAGAUCUUGGGCCACUCUUCAUUUUGUGUGUUCCGUGUGUCAGGACACUCUGAGAGACCUACUUUACCUGAUAAGAAGCAGAACACACUUGUUGACUGCAGGAUCUGGAGUCAUCCUGCUUGGAUUCAAAUCUGAUCAUUACACUGAUUGGCUGUGUGACCCAUGCAAAUUAUUUUCUCUCUGUGUGGUUUUUUUUGGUUUGUUUUUUUGUUUGGUUUUUGAGACGGAGUCUUGCUCUGUUGCCCAGGCUGGAGUGCCCUGGCGUGAUCUCCGCUCACGGCAAUCUCCGCCUUCUGGGCUCAAGCGAUUCUCAUGCCUCAGCCCCCUGAGUAACUGAAAUUACAGGCGUGCACCACCACACACACCCGGCUAAUUUUUGUGUUUUUUGGUAGAGACAGGGUUUCACCAUGUUGGCUAGGCUGGUCUCGAACUCGUGACCUCAAGUGAUCAUCGUGCCUCAGCCUCCCAAAGUGCUGGGAUUACAGGCGUGAGCCACCACGCCUGGCCUCUCUCUAUAUCUUACUUAGUUCCCUGAUCAGCAAAAUGGGUAUUUGCAAGGUUGUUUUGAAGACUGUGUAAGAUGAUAUAAUAUCAGGUGCUUAGGAACACAUGUUAGUUUUUAUUUCCCUUUAAAGCACAGGGAAGAAACAUCAAAG
This is a long non-coding RNA of Macaca fascicularis (crab-eating macaque), 4017 nucleotides long. The record is from Ensembl. NCBI's taxonomy places the organism in Eukaryota, Metazoa, Chordata, Mammalia, Primates, Cercopithecidae.